This 433-nucleotide ribosomal RNA is filed under the name uncultured bacterium. Its description in RNAcentral is "partial 16S ribosomal RNA". It matches the Rfam family "Bacterial small subunit ribosomal RNA", at positions 29 to 507 of the family's 1533-position model. The record is from RNAcentral.
AACGAACGCUGGCGGCAUGCCUAACACAUGCAAGUCGAACGAGACCUUCGGGUCUAGUGGCGCACGGGUGCGUAACGCGUGGGAACCUGCACUUAGGUUCGGAAUAACUCCCCGAAAGGGGUGCUAAUACCGGAUAAUGUCUUCGGACCAAAGAUUUAUCGCCUUUGGAUGGGCCCGCGUUGGAUUAGCUAGUUGGUAGGGUAAAAGCCUACCAAGGCGACGAUCCAUAGCUGGUCUGAGAGGAUGAUCAGCCACACUGGGACUGAGACACGGCCCAGACUCCUACGGGAGGCAGCAGUGGGGAAUAGUGGACAAUGGGCGAAAGCCUGAUGCAGCAAUGCCGCGUGAGUGAUGAAGUCCUGAGGGUUGUAAAGCUCUUUUACCCGGGAUGAUAAUGACAGUACCGGGAGAAUAAGCUCCGGCUAACUCCGUG